ACGAAUCUAAUAACCAUGGACUUCCCAUUAAAAAAACACCGUCUUGAUGCCAGUAAAAAUACUUAGUCCUCAGUAAAAGACAUCAGGACUUUUUAUCUUCCCACUAUGGUAGUAAAUGUGACCUUAUUUUUAGAUAAACUAUUCCGUUUCAUUUCAAAGGCAUGUCAUUUUCUUUAGAUACAACGGUAUCAUCAACACCACUGACAACGAGAAGAAACACAACAACAGGGAUUCUUCAUCUUGGUGUUUGGAAUGCUUUUAGACAGCAGGGUUCUGGAGUCACUACUAGGAAAAACAGUUGCUACAGAAACUGUACAGCACACACUUUUAUGAUGUUAAGCUUCUAAGCAUUGCCAAAUAUGUUUACAUUGACUCUCUGUAAUCUAUUUUAACCGAUGUCUUGUCCGAUCAUCCACACCUGGACUGAAUGUCUUUCAAAGGAUACGGCGGAGGAAUGUGUACAAUGUGUCUGAAGCCAGCAAUACAGCAGUUACAGACGGCUCCUACGACUCCUUUUCACUUACAAACACUUAAAAGACACGCCAAAGACAGUAGUUUUAGGGGAGGGUACUUUUUCUUUCUUUGUUAGUUAGUUUAAUUGCAUCCUGUUUUUCUGCUAUGAUAAAUUCCAAACGUUUCUAAACAAUAAUGACAAAUAUAGUGACCAAUAAAAAAAAUGCUUCAUAUUGUAUUUAAGUAAAAAAGUAAUUUUAUACUAAUAAACACAAAUUCAAGUGUUUCUUUUUGUCUCAAU
Molecule: long non-coding RNA, 754 nt
Organism: Puntigrus tetrazona (Sumatra barb)
Lineage: Eukaryota; Metazoa; Chordata; Actinopteri; Cypriniformes; Cyprinidae
Exons: 4
Source: RefSeq, a predicted model, not a curated record